This 816-nucleotide ribosomal RNA is filed under the name uncultured bacterium. Its description in RNAcentral is "bacterial SSU rRNA". It matches the Rfam family "Bacterial small subunit ribosomal RNA", at positions 8 to 807 of the family's 1533-position model. The record is from RNAcentral.
AGAGUUUGAUCCUGGCUCAGGAUGAACUCUGGCGGCGUGCCUAAUACAUGCAAGUAGAACGCUGAAGCUUGUUGCUUGCACCGAGCGGAUGAGUUGCGAACGGGUGAGUAACGCGUAGGUAACCUGCCUCUUAGCGGGGGAUAACUAUUGGAAACGAUAGCUAAUACCGCAUAAAAGUUGACAUUGCAUGAUGUUGAUUUGAAAGAUGCAAUUGCAUCACUAAGAGAUGGACCUGCGUUGUAUUAGCUAGUUGGUGAAGUAACGGCUCACCAAGGCGACGAUACAUAGCCGACCUGAGAGGGUGAUCGGCCACACUGGGACUGAGACACGGCCCAGACUCCUACGGGAGGCAGCAGUAGGGAAUCUUCGGCAAUGGGGGCAACCCUGACCGAGCAACGCCGCGUGAGUGAAGAAGGUUUUCGGAUCGUAAAGCUCUGUUGUAAGAGAAGAACGAGUGUGAGAGUGGAAAGUUCACACUGUGACGGUAACUUACCAGAAAGGGACGGCUAACUACGUGCCAGCAGCCGCGGUAAUACGUAGGUCCCGAGCGUUAUCCGGAUUUAUUGGGCGUAAAGCGAGCGCAGGCGGUUAGAUAAGUCUGAAGUUAAAGGCUGUGGCUUAACCAUAGUACGCUUUGGAAACUGUUUAACUUGAGUGCAGAAGGGGAGAGUGGAAUUCCAUGUGUAGCGGUGAAAUGCGUAGAUAUAUGGAGGAACACCGGUGGCGAAAGCGGCUCUCUGGUCUGUAACUGACGCUGAGGCUCGAAAGCGUGGGGAGCAAACAAGAUUAGAUACCCUGGUAGUCCACGCCGUAAAC